CCCUUUGUAUUCGUACGAAGGUGUCCUAGUGGCGAACGGGUGAGUAACACGUUGGUGACCUGCCCCGAAGAGAGGGACAACCCCGGGAAACCGGGGCUAAUACCUCAUGUGCUCCAUGGUGUUAGAGGACCAUGGAGGAAAGGGAGCAAUCCGCUUCGGGAGGGGCCUGCGGCCCAUCAGCUAGUUGGUAGGGUAACGGCCUACCAAGGCGACGACGGGUAGGGGACCUGAGAGGGUGGUCCCCCACACUGGUACUGAAACACGGACCAG
Molecule: ribosomal RNA, 270 nt
Filed under: uncultured bacterium
Lineage: Bacteria
Description: partial 16S ribosomal RNA
Rfam family: Bacterial small subunit ribosomal RNA
Source: RNAcentral